UACGUAGGGGGCAAGCGUUAUCCGGAUUUACUGGGCAUAAAGGGCGCGUAGGCGGUUUAUUAAGUCAGAUGUUAAAGCCAGCAGCUCAACUGCUGUUCGCAUUUGAUACUGGUGAACUAGAGAUCAGGAGAGGAAAGCGGAACAUACAGUGUAGCGGUGAAAUGCGUAGAUAUUGUAUGGAACACCAGUUGCGAAGGCGGCUUUCUGGACUGAUUCUGACGCUGAGGCGCGAAAGCGUGGGGAGCAAACAGG
This 252-nucleotide ribosomal RNA is filed under the name uncultured bacterium. Its description in RNAcentral is "partial 16S ribosomal RNA". It matches the Rfam family "Bacterial small subunit ribosomal RNA", at positions 524 to 776 of the family's 1533-position model. The record is from RNAcentral.